Molecule: ribosomal RNA, 253 nt
Filed under: uncultured bacterium
Lineage: Bacteria
Description: partial 16S ribosomal RNA
Rfam family: Bacterial small subunit ribosomal RNA
Source: RNAcentral
UACGUAGGGGGCAAGCGUUGUCCGGAUUUAUUGGGCGUAAAGAGCGUGUAGGCGGCCGUACAGGUCAGCUGUGAAAACUCGAGGCUCAACCUCGAGACGUCGGUUGAAACCGUACGGCUAGAGUCCGGAAGAGGAGAGUGGAAUUCCCGGUGUAGCGGUGAAAUGCGCAGAUAUCGGGAAGAACACCCGUGGCGAAGGCGGCUCUCUGGGUCGGUACUGACGCUGAGACGCGAAAGCGUGGGGAGCGAACAGG